Herpailurus yagouaroundi (jaguarundi) is the source of this 5324-nucleotide long non-coding RNA. RefSeq lists it as uncharacterized. Lineage: Eukaryota; Metazoa; Chordata; Mammalia; Carnivora; Felidae. The transcript is spliced from 2 exons. The record is from RefSeq and is a predicted model, not a curated record.
CCUGGCCAAAAAGAGACAAGAGAUGCUGCGCUCAGUCACCAGGUGGCACAGCAGGGGACACCCCCUCCCCACCCCCACCUGCCAAGGACACAGCUCUGCACACGUGGGGUAAAACUAAGCGAGUUCAAACAUCACUUGGGGUCAGGUGUCCACCCGUCUCUAGGAAGCAGGUUCUGGGGUAACUGCCAGACACACUCCCCUCAGGGCUGAGCUGGGCCCCAUCUAGUAUCCCUGAACGAGCGCCAGGAGUAACGGGAGAGGGGGUGAGUGAGGCCAGCUGCCCACGACCCCCUUAUGGCACACAGGCCCCCAGCAGCGGCCCGGCAAUGUUUCCCGCUCCUGCACCUUCCCAGACCGUGAGCAGAAAGGGCUCCCGGGGGAGGGGCGGUGGGGGACAGGAAGCCAAGUGGGAGGGCCUGGGCGAGGAGGCCGGCUGUGGUGACCACCCAGAAGUCAGGGACCAAAGGCGAACUGGCCAAGUCUCCUGGGGCAUGAGCCUGGGGAUUCUGGUCAAGUCAGUAAGAGAGCGGAGGAGCCCAGCCUCCACGCCCUGACCCCAGCCCUGCACCAGGGAAGGAAUGCGUUGGACCAACCAGUGGGUAGGGCAUCCGUUAGGCUUGCCAUGGGCUGCAAAUGGGUGCUGGGUUCCCUGUGAUCUCCCAGGACUUGCCUGGACCUGCCGGUCUGUGCCCCGGGCAUGGUUAACAGUGGGUGGUGAGCAAGCCUGAGAUAAUUAAAGGACUGAGCUGCCCAGACCCGGAGGCCCACCAUCAGAGUCAAGGGGGGAUUCCCAAGCCCCCAGCUCCACUGGACUAGCCAGUGUGCAACUGAUGUGUACUGACAGACAGACAGACAGACUGGAUGAAUGAAAGAAUGAAUGACAGUCAAUGAACGGGUGCUCUGAGUUUUCCAUCCGACCUCGUAGAAUUCUGCCAAGAAAACCAGAGUCUGAAAAAAGUGCUGGGACUUUACUUACCGUGAGAAAAAUGUCCUCUCCAAGAGGACAGGCCCCUCGGGGUGGAUGUGAGACAGCAAGGGGUCUGGGGGCCUGGAGAGAGGAGCUGACCGUGACUCGCCCCACCCCCCGGCCAGCAGCUCCCGAUGCAGAGCCCAGACACCGGUGUCCACGCAGACACCUCUCACACGGGGCUCGGAGGGGCAGGAAGCUGGAGCGGAGCGAGCACUUCCGAAGAGCCAGGAGCAGAACCCCCAGGAAGGUGCCGUGGAACGGCGCGGUCCAGAGGAGCGGCGAGAAGGACUUCGUGCCCUGGAAGGGGAGGAGGAGGUAAGGGUGGGAGGGCCCCACCUCAGGCACGACCCGGCCCUUACCCAAGGACAGCCCGUUCCUCUUCUGCAGGACGUCCCUGUAGAAGUUCUGCUGCGCGUGGUCCAGCCGCCCCCACUCCUCCCGGGAGAGGUACAGGGCCACGUCCUCGAAGGUCACUGGCAUCUGCAACAACACAAAACGCCCACUCUCCAGGACACGCCAGGACCCCCCGGAGGGGCACCAUGGCUCCAAGAGGAAGGCGACCCGGCUCCCGACCCACUGCCCCGAGUGAGCCCCGCUCUCGUGUCUGCUGGUGAAGCAGGACGGCCGCCCGAGGGUGGCUUCGCGGGGGCAAGAACGAGGCGGCUGUGUACAACCCGGGAGACAGAAACAAGCGUCCCUUUCGGGCGCCGCAGCCGAAGCUCGGGGUCUCCACGCACACUCCCCUGCAGCCCCCACCCUCCGCUGGCGCUCGCAUCCAGGGGACGAUGUGGUUCCUCCACAUCCCUCUGCUGUUCCUCCAGCCCUGGACUUGGACGGGGACACUCACCUGGGACCAGGCGGUGAGGAGCGCCGCAGCCAUCUGCCGGUCUCUGGUCCUCCCCUCACGAGAGAGCACAGGGAUCUGGGGGGAGGGGAGGGCUGAGAGAGGACAGAGGUGCUCAGGGCGGCCGCCUCGCCCCGCCUACCAGGGACACCCCCCGCUGCCUCAAACUGCACCCCGACCUGACCCAGGAAGAGGGUCAGUAGCCUCUGUGCAGUCAGAGGCUCCCAGGCUGUGCGGGAGAGGCGUGUCGGGGGCAGGUGCGCACACGUGCAGGCCUCUCCGUGGCAGGAGAGCUCGUGCCCUCCCCGCCUCUGCACCAGACUCCACCUCUCCCCACAGCUGCCACCGAGAAGGGGCCCCUCUCCGCGCCCCUCUCCAUCCCUUUCCUCACCUCCUCCGGGCAGGAAAAGAGCUUUGUCCUUAGAGCCCUGGCUUAGGGACACCCAGCCCUGCUCUCCUCGGGCCCCGGCCCCCUGCGAUGCCCCCUCAGGCUGUGGCUCUUCCGGCUCCGUCUUGAUGUGGGGAGACUCCUGAGCAGCUCCCAAAGGCACCGUCUCCUCUGACUCAGAAAGCAUUUCUUGACGAGGAUGCCCAUGACCUGGAACCUAGGAAUGACAGCCCCCAUCAGCACCUGGGCAGACAAUGGGAGACGCGGCCGAGCCCCACACCCGAGGGGCCUGGCAGCGGCCGACACCCAGGUGGCCAAACACACCCGAAUGCAACUCACUGCUGGCCUUGCUUCCUUGUCCCGGCCCUGGGGCCGCGCACGUGCCUGGUUCGCCCCCACAAGGCCGGGACAGCACGGGAAGGAAGGGAGGCUCGAGGCCGGGCCAGGGGCGGGCUGGCCAGGUGCCCACAGAGCAGGUGUCUCCUCCCCGUUCCAGCCUCGUACCUCCCACAGCAGUGUGGACGGUUCCUCUUUCAUGUUAGAGGACACCAAGUGCGGUGGGCUGAAUGGUGUCCCCCAAAUUUCACGUCUGCCUGGAACCUCACAAUGUGACCUUAUUUGGAAAAAAAAAGGUCUCUGCUGAUGUAAUCAGUAAAGGAUCUUGAGAUGAAAUCAUUCUGCAUUUAGACUGGGCCCUAGAUCCAACGACCAGUGUCCUUAGAACGAAUUCUAGUUGUUUUAUGCCAUCCAGACAUAGGAAACGAACACACCCAGGCUCAGAGAUCGACCAUGGCCCAAGAUUGCAGAGCCUGUGAAUUCUCAGCCAGCACUUGAACUCCGAGUGUAUCUGAUUCACAAGUCAGCCCCAGGGCCACCAUUUCCUGAAUAUGACAGGGAGGUAUCAUGUGGCCCUGGGCCAUUUCCAGCCUGACUCAAUUCGGUCACGGAAGCUGGAGUUUUUUUAGUUUGGAGAAACAAGUCCAAGGGUACCUCUAACUGUGCCGAGGCCUGUGCCCACCUUCGUCUGACAGAAGGAGACCUCCUCCCGGCUCACCCCUGCAGCACCACCCACCGCAACUCGUCCAGGGUUCUCCAGGGUCCUCCUAAUUUGUCCCUUCUUCACAUCAACCUCGGGUGGGAAGGUCAGGCAACCGGGGCUUGAUCCAGACCAGCCCCUCGCUCGCCGCUCAACCCUGAGUGGGCACCGCCUUCCCACAAACCUCAAGAGCUUUGGGAAAGUCACUUCCUUUGCAUUGGGAGGCUCCUGGUGAGGCCUCAUCAUCACCCACAGCACAGGGACUGGCCAGGCUUCUGCUGAGAACUCAGACUUCUCUCUCCACACCGCCCCCACGUCUGUGUAUAUCAGAGCCCCAAAGGGAAGACCCUCAGGCCAGGAGUUGAAGGGCCUGGGAGCCACACGAGCCAGGCAGCCUCCAAAACUCAGCUACUCUGCCUCACGCACAGAUUCCCUGUGAGAAAGAGCUGCCUACUCUGGAACAUUCUGGAUAAACACAGAGCGGUGCCAGAAAUAAUUACUAUAACUGUACUGUGCGAGUUGACAGAAUCCAGCAGGAGAGAAUGUCAGGGGCGUGCGAGGCCCAGUGGGUGUUACAAAGGCAUCGUGGAAGCGAAAGCACACAGUGUUGACACAUCUUUGUACCUUCUGUACGAAAGUGCGAGACGUAACGCAGAUGGUCCCUGACUCUCAACGGCUCAGCUUAACGAACUUUCGACUUUAUGAUGGUACAGAAACGGCACACAUUGGGUAGAAACCACACUUCGAAGUCUGAAAAUGCCCCUUUCCCUGGGCUAAGCGAUGUGUACCACGGUCCUGGCUCAGGACGCCAGGCGGCCGGAGACAUGGCUUCCGGUCAGCCGCGUGGUCACGAGCGUAAAUGACCACAAACCGGUGGCCAUUCUGUCUUCCUCCUUCAGCACGGUGUUCAGUACAUCACGUGAGAUACUCAGCCCUAAAUUACGAGAUCGGCUUUGGGUUAGGUGGUUUUACCCAAUGUAGGCUGCUCUGAGUGUUCUGAGCACGUUUAAGGUAGGUGAGAUUAGGCUCUGAUGCUCAGUAGAGCAUGUAUUAAAUGCGUUUUCCACUUAAUAAUAUUUUCAGCUUACAGCGGGUUUAUCAGGAUGUAAGCCCAUGGUGAGCUGAGGGAGAUCUGCUCUUGAUUUGUGCUUGUCCUUACACCUGCUCGUUGAGGCGAUCUGUUUCUCUGAUCUAGGUUCUGGUUGCUGUGGGUGUUGUUAUUGCAUAUGUUACAAUAACGAUCUGGAUGAGACAGGUGGCAACAGCAGGCAGGCACAGGGUAUACAUUUUAUGGACGACACACCUGGUUCCCAGGAGCCAGGGGACUUGCCCAAGGUCACACACCUGGCUGCAGCUGACUCAUAUUCCUUUGAUUCCAAGCUCAGGGGCCCAGGUCCUCCCGCAGGGUGUAAUUACACACAUGGGCAACAGGUACAGGAAGGAGACAAGGUGCUCAGACCCAGGGAGAGAGGAGAUGGGGUGCUAGGCAGGAAGGAGCGGAGAGUAAACCGGGGCUCCCCCACGUGCGCUGGGCACAACCUCACCAGUAGGACCCCCACGCAGGCUCCCCGCUAUUUCAUGUAGCCUUUGGCCGACAGACUCCUGAACUCAGCAGGCAGAGGCGAGCAGCUCUCUGGCUGUCAAUUCCCAGUGGAAGAACUUUCUCGUCAUAGCACCAACUCCUCCCAUCACCCCCAUCCGCCCCAGUGAGUCUAAGUCUUCCACUGGCGUAGACACCCUACCUUGAAAACCCCCUCCCGCUCCAAUCCCUUCCAGGGCAUGCAUCCCUCGCCCAGCGCCCCGCCCAUACCUCUCGGGCUCUCUCCUUGUCCUGGGUAGCCUGGGCGGCUCUGCCGUCUGCAGACAUUUCUAUCUCAGAGGUAGAAAGCACAGCUCCGUCGUUUCUCCCUUCUUAUUGGCCAAGCCCCCUCCAGCUUCUGGCCAGGAGCCUACCAGAGCAGAAACGUAAGUCAGCCAUCGUCUCCUGGACACCUCCAAAGCACCCUGGAAGUCCCCACGCAAGCCCAGACCCACGCUUGGUCCCAAUCAGAAAUAAAGCCUCCCCAGAUGCCCUCCGGUGACCUCA